Molecule: long non-coding RNA, 1004 nt
Organism: Mus musculus (house mouse)
Lineage: Eukaryota; Metazoa; Chordata; Mammalia; Rodentia; Muridae
Product: RIKEN cDNA 1700112D23 gene
Exons: 3
Source: RefSeq, marked validated
GCACUUCCGGCGUGCAGAGCUGCCUGCAGUCGACUGUUUGAAGCUUCGCAGUGUUCCCGGGCGAGAUGCAUCCUCAUCUUCAGUUCGGCGCCCAGUUGACCUUGGGGACGACUAUUAGGACCAGGUAGCUUGCUCUGGGCCCUAGCACGCAGAGCUCUGGAUUCCCAAAGCCUCAGGACCUAACUGAUAUCAGGCACUAUGCUCAUUCUACAAAGAGAUCAUGUUUGCAGAGUACUGACCACCAUCCAGGAAGAGAAGCUUUGUUUCUGAUGAGGACCUUUAGUUUUUGCCUGAGUUGUGAGAUUUUACAACUCUGCACCUGGGUAUAAAGAACAAAUAAUUAUCACAGACCUGGAUUCCCUAAUAAACCUCCAGCUCAAUGUUAUCAUCAGUGAAGUAUCCCAGGACAUUCUUCAGGAACCUAGAAGAUCUUCUGUUCACUGACUCUGAAUCAAAACUCCACUCUGGGGGCUUAGCACAUGAACGGCUCUUAGAACCCUUCUGCCUCAUCCCAAGCCCUUCUGCUAGCUUGGAGCUCACUUGGGUUUGUGGAAUCUGCAGGUUACACAGCUCCCUUCUGUCUUACUAGAUUUAGGUGGCGUUUUUGCACCCUGGUCCCGUCAGAAACUUUGUUCCCUGAAAGGACUACAGGCGUUCAUUUUCUCCUUCUCUCCCUCCCGCUCUCCCCCCACUUUCCCUUCCUCCUGCCCUCCAGCCCUCCCUUCCUUUCUCUCCCUCCUUUCCUUUCCUUCCUUCUCUUUUCUACACUCUAAAGAUACAUACAUGCCCUCUUAUCACAUAUUUUAUGUAUUUAUUACAAAUAAAGAAAUAUACACAUUUAUACAUAAGAAUAUCUUAUUAUAAGAAAGUAAUAUUUAACAUAUGCAUACACAUACAUACUAUAUGGCAUAUGAUGUAUGGGAUUAUGCAAGGGUUUGAAUGACUUUCUAAAACUGUAGUGAGACAUCUAAAAUCCAGAAAAUAAAAGCUCAAAUGAGAUUCCA